Molecule: transfer RNA, 76 nt
Filed under: Staphylococcus aureus
Lineage: Bacteria; Bacillati; Bacillota; Bacilli; Caryophanales; Staphylococcaceae
Description: tRNA-Thr
Rfam family: tRNA
About the family: Transfer RNA (tRNA) molecules are approximately 80 nucleotides in length. Their secondary structure includes four short double-helical elements and three loops (D, anti-codon, and T loops).
Source: RNAcentral
GCCGGCCUAGCUCAAUUGGUAGAGCAACUGACUUGUAAUCAGCAGGUUGGGGGUUCAAGUCCUCUGGCCGGCACCA